This 253-nucleotide ribosomal RNA is filed under the name uncultured bacterium. RNAcentral's name for it is "partial 16S ribosomal RNA". It matches the Rfam family "Bacterial small subunit ribosomal RNA", at positions 524 to 776 of the family's 1533-position model. The record is from RNAcentral.
UACGUAGGGCGCAAGCGUUAUCCGGAAUUAUUGGGCGUAAAGAGCUCGUAGGCGGUUUAUCGCGUCUGCCGUGAAACUCCGGGGCUCAACUCCGGAUCUGCGGUGGGUACGGGCAGACUAGAGUGCGGUAGGGGAGACUGGAAUUCCUGGUGUAGCGGUGAAAUGCGCAGAUAUCAGGAGGAACACCGGUGGCGAAGGCGGGUCUCUGGGCCGUAACUGACGCUGAGGAGCGAAAGCAUGGGGAGCGAACAGG